Molecule: long non-coding RNA, 4558 nt
Filed under: Homo sapiens (human)
Lineage: Eukaryota; Metazoa; Chordata; Mammalia; Primates; Hominidae
Description: non-protein coding lnc-NEIL3-6:1
Source: RNAcentral
ACUGAGCUGUUCCCUGCGCUAAGGUGCUUCUUCCUAAGUGCUGUUCAGAUUUUUAAAAUAGCCAGACAAGUUGCUGCUUUUCCUGUGGUUAAAAUAGAUUUAGCUUGAUAUUGGGAAUUUAAUACAAAAUUAUUCAACUCUGGGUUGCAGGGCCCCAGGAACUUUAGCCGAUUGCUGUGUACUAUGGAUUUGGUUCUUUUACUGUCUUUUUAAUUUAAAGUUGAAGUUGAAAAGUUUGUCAAACUCAGUAUAUUCUUGGGGAUCCCAGGCCUCGGAGGUCUGCAAUAGUUAUGAGUGUAGGUGAAGCGUGUUUGCUUAGGACCGGAUUGAUUUUAGAUUUUUUUUCCAUUCAUAGCGUCCGUCAUUUUCGCACCACAGCUUUUUGUAGCACUUCCUCUCAUUAUAAAUCCCUGAGCUGGAAGAAAAACAGAAACGGCCUAUGUACCCUCUACCUAGCACACUGAAGUGCAGCUUCCUGCACCUCCAGGGCAAGACGGCUACCUCCAUUCCUUUUUAAAUGUAUUUUUACCUUCCUGCCUGGCACUAUUAAGUGCUAAAUAAAUGAAUAAGAGGAGGAAUGGGGAUUUUACGUGCUUGGUGGAGGCUGCUCAGUUUUGUUGCUGGGCAGACGUGCGAACAUGAACUAAUAAUCCCUUUGGGUGUCUGGAAUGCCUGCCCAGGUUGCCAAGGCAAGACACAUAAUCACAUAAUUUUUAAAAGCAUCUAUAAAUCUAUACAAACUUUAAAAAUAUGAACUAGGCUGGGCACGAUGGCUCACGCCUGUAAUCCCAACACUUUGGGAUGCUGAGGUGGGUGGAUCACGAGGUCAGGAGUUCGAGACCAGCCUGGCCAACAUAGUGAAACCCGUCUCUACUAAAAAUACAAAAAUUAGCCGGGCGUGGUGGUGCAUGCCUGUAGUCCCAACUACUUGGGAGGCUGAGGCAGAAUUGCUUGAAGCCGGGAGGUGGAGAUUGUGGUGAGCCGAGAUCGCACCACUUCACUCCAGCCUGGACAACAGAGUGAGAUUCUGUCUCAAAAAUAAAUAAAUAAAUAAAUGUAAAAAUAUAAACUAGGUAGGAGUUGUGAGACUUACAAAACCUUCAAGGCUCUUAUUGAUUGCUAGGAAAUUAAAUACAUAAUUUAAAGAACAUAAGAUAGCCCAGAAGUAUCAUUAUCCCGUUGGGGAAGUGUUAAUUAAAAGAUAUAAUAAAGACAAAUUUUCUAAGUUCCUUUCAUGGGGUUUGGAAGAGGAACAAGUCAUCUGUGCUGGAGUAAUCAUAACCCAAUGGCAGGUGAAACUGGAAACUUGGGUGAAACAGGGUAAGAAAGCCAGAAAAACAUACAUUGUCCUCUGAGUAAAUUUUCCUUAGCUCCUGGGCUGAGUAUUUUUAUGCAGCCUUAAGGAAUUAGGACAUGCCUUUAGCAAAAAUUGUAAAAUACAAUACAUGGAAAAUUGGUCUUAGUACCCCACUGAUCUCUCUAGCCUCUUCCUGUUUUUUAAGGUAUUUGUGUUUCUUCUGGUGGAAAGAGCCUGAUCUGUUACCUCCUACUAUGUCUAUUUCUCCAAAUUCUUUCUUCUUAAAUAAAAAUUCCUGUCAGAGAAACAGCUAAAUUACACUAUAGUGGGAAUGGCUGAUAGAAGGUCUCAAUAUAUCAACUUUUCCAUGGAUAUUUGUAUGUAUGUAUGUAUGUAUGUAUUUAUUUUUUGAGAUGGAGUCUUGCUCUAUCGCCCAGGCUGGAGUUCACUGGUGUAAUCUCAGCUCACUGCAACCUCCACCUCCUGCAUUCAAGCGAUUCUCUUGCCCCAGCCUCCUGAGUAGCUGGGAUUGCUACUGCCUACUACCAUGCCCGGCUAAUUUUUGUAUUUUAAGUAGAGACAGGUUUUGCCAUUUUGGCCAGGUUGGUCUUGAACUCCUGACACAGGUGAUCCACCCACCGCCCCCACCCCCCCGACCUCCCAAAAUGCUGGGAUUACAGGUGUGAGCCACCGUGCCCAGCCGGAUAUUUGUAUUUAAAUAACUAAUAUGCAAUCCCUAUAGAAUCUACCCGAUUCAGUGUCUUCUUAGUGGCUACUAAAAUACCUACUGGAUCCACUGUCCAGUUUGCCUAAAUUGUAGCUGUUUCUUAAGUUAAAUUCGUCUGGAUAUUUGGUUCCUUCUGGAGUAGUUUUCCUUUGACUAACACUUGAAGAAUAAUUUUCAUUUUAGUUCUAGAAGUAACCUUCUGUUACUCUCACUUAGGUGCUCUUUUGGGCCUAAAUAUAAUUAGAUCCUUCGCCGUUGUUUUGAGGUAAAUCUAAACGAAAAGGAACACCUGUUAACAGGUAGUGAUGCCGCAGGAAAGUGCUGGGAAGGGAAUGCUGGGAAGGGAAGGGCGUGGUCCCUUUAAAUGAUAAGGAAGGGGGGCGGGAAGUGCUGGGUAGAGGAGGGCGUGGUCCCCAGCUAGGGCUUCAUCCCUGGGCCUGGGCCUACCUAGGUGAAGACAGGCAUUUUUGUUUUCCUGCCCGGAUGUUGCAUUUCCCAAGACCACCCUGGCCUGCCAUGCCCUCAUCCUGUGCCUUUAAAAACCCCCGAGACCCUGGCAGGCAGACGCACAAGCAGCUGGACAUUGAGAGGAGCAUAUAGGCAGAGAAUACAGGGGCUGCUGGAUGUCGAAAGGAACGCACCAGCAUAGGAGCACACCGGCAUGCUGGCAGGCCAUUGACCAGCGGAAGAAUGCAGAGUUUGUCGCGGGAGGUCAGAGAAGAGUCAGGCCGCCAUACCUGACUCCAGGAGAAAACCGUCUCCCUUCUGGUUCCCCCGUCUGCCGAGAGCUACUUCCACUCAAUAAAACUUUCCACUCAUUCUUCAAGCCCACGUGUGAUCCAAUUCUUCCCGUACACCAAGGUCUCGCUGUGUUUCCCAGGCUGGGUGCAGUGGCUAUUCAAAGGUACAAUGAUAGCUCACUGCAGCCUGGAACUCCUGGACUCAAGCGAUCCUCCUGCCUCAGCUGCGACUAACAGCUCCAAGUUUAGAAGACCCUACGACGUGACUCAGUAAGUGGCCUCACCUUCAUCCGAUUGCUCAGAAUUAAAACCUAGAAGUCAUCCUUGAUUUUCUCCUCUCAAAUCUGUCUCCAUUCAUCAGCACGUGCUUUUGACUCGAUGAAACGCUCCAAACACAACUGCUUCCCACCGCCUCCACUGCUGCCUCUUGUCCCUGCAGCAUCAUCUCUCACCCACAUUGGCCACAGCGGCUUGUUGUUGGUGUUCCUGCUUCUACUUUUGACUUGUUUCUAUUGUCUUCCAUGCCCACUGGAACUGUAAUUAUUUUUUGCAAAUGUAAGUUAGAUAAUGACAUUCCACUGUUAAAAAAAAAACAAAACAGAAAACAAAAUGAAAGAACAAAAUAAAAAUGUCUAGUGACCCCCUGUUACACCUAGCCGAAAAUCCUUACUUGGCCCAGAAGGGCCUAGAUUCUCAGUCUUGACUGCACAUGGGAAAUCACCUGGGGACUUGAAAAAUACUGACUUUAGCUGGGUCUGGGGAAUUGUGUGUGUGUGUAUGUGUGUGUGAGAUGGAGCUUCGCUUUUAUUGCCCGGGCUACAGUGCAAUGGCACCAUCUCAGCUCACCGCAACCUCCGCCUCCCCAGUUCAAGCCGUUCUCCUGCCUCAGCCUCCCGAGUAGGUGGGAUUACAGGCAUGCACCAUGACGCCCGGCUAAUUUUUUCUAUUUUUGGUAGAGACGGGGGUUUCUCCAUGUUGGUCAGGCUGGUCUCGAACUCCUGACCUCAGGUGAUCCACCUGCCUCGGCCUCCCAAAGUGCUGGGAUUACAGGCGUGAGCCACCGCGCCCAGCCGGCACAGGGAAUUUAAAAGCUUCCCAGAAGUUUCUGAUGUAUAACCAAGAUUGAGAGCUACUCUAGGAUCCUUCCACCACUCUCUUCCUCUCUCUAUCUCCACCCCAGUUGCUUACUUGCUGUGUUUUGAGCACACUCUGAUCCUUUCCACCCCAAAGCAUGGAUCAUUCUUGCCCCAGAUAUUUGCAUGAGCUAUUCUUUCACACAAAGAGGUCUCUGCUCAAAUGUUACCUUUUCAAAUAUAUUUUCCCCAACGAACCUACCUAAUGACUAUUUUUUUACCCUGUAUAUUUUUAGUUUUUAUAUGAAAUUAUAUUACUUGCUUCUUUACCUGUUUAUUGGUGCUCUUCCUCACAAGCAUGUAAGUGCAUGAAGAUAGACACCUUGUCUUAUUCACUAAGACAUUAUCACCCUGGCAUAUAGCGUGCUUGGAACUCAUUCUCUGAUUAGUGUUUUUCAGUGAAAAAAAUGAGGAUUACUCAAGGUUCUGGGAUCUGGAUUUGCUACAAGUAGCUAAUUGUAGCUUAUGGAUUCUCUGGUUUGUAAGGCUUUUGUUGCUUUUGUUCUAUUUGCAACCCUAGACUUUCCUUCCAGAAAUAGUCAUCUGGGCGUGGUGCCUCACACAUGUAAUCCCCAUACUGACACAGGUCGAUCACUUGAGGCCAGGAGUUCGAGAUCAGCCUGGCCGAUAUGGUGAAAUCCCCUCUCUAUUGAAAACACAA